AGUCGAGGGGUAGGGGGUGCUUGCACCCCUGAGACCGGCGCACGGGUGCGGAACGCGUAUGGAACCUGCCCCUGUCAGGGGAAUAGCCCAGGGAAACUUGGAUUAAUGCCCCAUGGUAUCAUUACAUCGCAUGAUGUUGUGAUUAAAGAUUUAUCGGACAGGGAUGGCCAUGCGUACCAUUAGCUUGAUGGUGGGGUAACGGCCCACCAUGGCAACGAUGGUUAGGGGCCCUGAGAGGGGGAUCCCCCACACUGGUACUGAGACACGGACCAGACUCCUACGGGAGGCAGCAGUGAGGAAUAUUGGACAAUGGUCGGAAGACUGAUCCAGCCAUGCCGCGUGCAGGAUGACGGCCCUAUGGGUUGUAAACUGCUUUUAUACGGGAAGAAACCCACCUACGUGUAGGUGGCUGACGGUACCGUAAGAAUAAGGACCGGCUAACUCCGUGCCAGCAGCCGCGGUAAUACGGAGGGUCCGAGCGUUAUCCGGAAUCAUUGGGUUUAAAGGGUCCGUAGGCGGGCCUGUAAGUCAGGGGUGAAAGUUUGUGGCUCAACCAUAAAAUUGCCUUUGAUACUGCAGGUCUUGAGUCAUGGUGGGGUUGCCGGAACAUGUGGUGUAGCGGUGAAAUGCAUAGAUAUCACAUAGAACACCGAUCGCGAAGGCAGGUGAC
This 670-nucleotide ribosomal RNA is filed under the name Allomuricauda sp. Its description in RNAcentral is "bacterial SSU rRNA". It matches the Rfam family "Bacterial small subunit ribosomal RNA", at positions 60 to 729 of the family's 1533-position model. Lineage: Bacteria; Pseudomonadati; Bacteroidota; Flavobacteriia; Flavobacteriales; Flavobacteriaceae. The record is from RNAcentral.